This 278-nucleotide ribosomal RNA is filed under the name uncultured prokaryote. Its description in RNAcentral is "partial 16S ribosomal RNA". It matches the Rfam family "Bacterial small subunit ribosomal RNA", at positions 524 to 801 of the family's 1533-position model. The record is from RNAcentral.
UACGUAGGGUGCGAGCGUUGUCCGGAAUUACUGGGCGUAAAGAGCACGUAGGCGGGAAACUAAGUCAGGUGUGAAAGACCGUGGCUCAACCACGGGGUGGCAUUUGAAACUGGGUUUCUUGAGGGCAGGAGAGGAAAGCAGAAUUCCUGGUGUAGCGGUGAAAUGCGUAGAAAUCAGGAGGAAUACCAGUGGCGAAGGCGGCUUUCUGGACUGACCCUGACGCUGAGGUGCGAAAGCGUGGGUAGCAAACAGGAUUAGAUACCCGCGUAGUCCCUGAG